This 314-nucleotide unclassified non-coding RNA is filed under the name plant metagenome. Its description in RNAcentral is "partial contains 5.8S ribosomal RNA, internal transcribed spacer 2, and large subunit ribosomal RNA". The stretch from base 1 to 105 matches the Rfam family "5.8S ribosomal RNA", at positions 50 to 154 of the family's 154-position model. The record is from RNAcentral.
GAAAUGCGAUAAUUAAUGUGAAUUGCAGAAUUCAGUGAAUCAUCGAGUCUUUGAACGCACAUUGCGCCCCCUGGUAUUCCGGGGGGCAUGCCUGUCCGAGCGUCAUUGCUGCCCUCAAGCACGGCUUGUGUGUUGGGCUUCCGUCCCUGGCAACGGGGACGGGCCCAAAAGGCAGUGGCGGCACCAUGUCUGGUCCUCGAGCGUAUGGGGCUUUGUCACCCGCUCCCGUAGGUCCAGCUGGCAGCUAGCCUCGCAACCAAUCUUUUUAACCAGGUUGACCUCGGAUCAGGUAGGGAUACCCGCUGAACUUACGC